Molecule: ribosomal RNA, 458 nt
Filed under: uncultured bacterium
Lineage: Bacteria
Description: bacterial SSU rRNA
Rfam family: Bacterial small subunit ribosomal RNA
Source: RNAcentral
GAUGAACGCUAGCGGCAGGCCUAAUACAUGCAAGUCGAACGAUAGUGAGAAGCUUGCUUCUCACGAAAGUGGCGCACGGGUGCGUAACGCGUAUGCAACCUACCUUAAUCAGGGGGAUAGCCCGAAGAAAUUCGGAUUAACACCGCAUAAAAUCACAGUAUAGCAUUAUACAAUGAUCAAAUAUUUAUAGGAUUAAGAUGGGCAUGCGUGACAUUAGUUAGUUGGCGGGGUAACGGCCCACCAAGACCACGAUGUCUAGGGGAUCUGAGAGGAUGACCCCCCACACUGGUACUGAGACACGGACCAGACUCCUACGGGAGGCAGCAGUAAGGAAUAUUGGUCAAUGGAGGCAACUCUGAACCAGCCAUGCCGCGUGCAGGAAGACAGCCCUCUGGGUCGUAAACUGCUUUUAUUCGGGAAUAAACCUAUCUACGUGUAGAUAGCUGAAGUACCGAAGG